AUUGUACCCGCUGAACUUAAGCAUAUCAAUAAGCGGAGGAAAAGAAACUAACAAGGAUUCCCCUAGUAACUGCGAGUGAAGCGGGAAAAGCUCAAAUUUAAAAUCUGGCGGUCUUUUGGCUGUCCGAGUUGUAAUCUAGAGAAGUGUUAUCCGCGCUGGACCGUGUACAAGUUUCCUGGAAUGGAGCAUCAUAGAGGGUGAGAAUCCCGUCUUUGACAUGGACUACCAGGGCUUUGUGAUGCGCUCUCAAAGAGUCGAGUUGUUUGGGAAUGCAGCUCAAAAUGGGUGGUAAAUUCCAUCUAAAGCUAAAUAUUGGCGAGAGACCAAUAGCGAACAAGUACCGUGAGGGAAAGAUGAAAAGAACUUUGGAAAGAGAGUUAAACAGUACGUGAAAUUGCUGAAAGGGAAACGCUUGAAGUCAGUCGCGUCAUCCAGGGAUCAACCUUGCUUUUGCUUGGUGCACUUUCUGGCUUGAUGGGUCAGCAUCAAUUUUGACCAUUGGAAAAAGGUCAAGGGAAUGUGGCAUCUUCGGAUGUGUUAUAGCCCUUGGUCACAUACAAUGGUUGGGAUUGAGGAACUCAGCACGCCGCAAGGCCGGGUUUUUAACCACGUUCGUGCUUAGGAUGCUGGCAAUAUGGCUUUAAUCGACCCGUCUUGAAACACGGACCAAGGAGUCUAACAUGCCUGCGAGUGUUUGGGUGGAAAACCCGAGCGCGUAAUGAAAGUGAAAGGUUGAGAUCCCUGUCGUGGGGAGCAUCGACGCCCGGACCAGACCUUUUGUGACGGUUCCGCGGUAGAGCAUGUAUGUUGGGACCCGAAAGAUGGUGAACUAUGCCUGAAUAGGGUGAAUCCAGAGGAAACUCUGGUGGAGGCUCGUAGCGAUUCUGACGUGCAAAUCGAUCGUCAAAUUUGGGUAUAGGGGCGAAAGACUAAUCGAACCAUCUAGUAGCUGGGUUCCUGCCGAAGUUUCCCUCAGAUAUC
Molecule: ribosomal RNA, 981 nt
Filed under: uncultured Cortinarius
Lineage: Eukaryota; Fungi; Basidiomycota; Agaricomycetes; Agaricales; Cortinariaceae
Description: eukaryotic LSU rRNA
Rfam family: Eukaryotic large subunit ribosomal RNA
Source: RNAcentral